CCUACGGGUUGCAGCAGUGGGAAAUAUUGCACAAUGGGCGCAAGCCUGAUGCAGCCAUGCCGCGUGUGUGAAGAAGGCCUUCGGGUUGUAAAGCACUUUCAGCGGGGAGGAAGGCGUUAAGGUUAAUAACCUUGGCGAUUGACGUUACCCGCAGAAGAAGCACCGGCUAACUCCGUGCCAGCAGCCGCGGUAAUACGGAGGGUGCAAGCGUUAAUCGGAAUUACUGGGCGUAAAGCGCACGCAGGCGGUCUGUCAAGUCGGAUGUGAAAUCCCCGGGCUCAACCUGGGAACUGCAUCUGAUACUGGCAAGCUUGAGUCUCGUAGAGGGGGGUAGAAUUCCAGGUGUAGCGGUGAAAUGCGUAGAGAUCUGGAGGAAUACCGGUGGCGAAGGCGGCCCCCUGGACGAAGACUGACGCUCAGAUGCGAAAGCGUGGGGAGCAAACAGGAUUAGAUACCCUAGUAGUC
RNAcentral lists this ribosomal RNA (465 nucleotides) under uncultured bacterium. Its description in RNAcentral is "bacterial SSU rRNA". It matches the Rfam family "Bacterial small subunit ribosomal RNA", at positions 338 to 795 of the family's 1533-position model. The record is from RNAcentral.